This 73-nucleotide transfer RNA is filed under the name Ictidomys tridecemlineatus (thirteen-lined ground squirrel). RNAcentral describes it as "Spermophilus tridecemlineatus (thirteen-lined ground squirrel) tRNA". It matches the Rfam family "tRNA". From Rfam's summary of the family: Transfer RNA (tRNA) molecules are approximately 80 nucleotides in length. Their secondary structure includes four short double-helical elements and three loops (D, anti-codon, and T loops). Lineage: Eukaryota; Metazoa; Chordata; Mammalia; Rodentia; Sciuridae. The record is from Rfam by way of RNAcentral.
GGGGAUAUAGCUCAGUUGGUAGAGUGCUUGCCUUCCAUGCCUAAGGUCCCGGGUUCAGUUCCCAGCACCACCA